This 312-nucleotide ribosomal RNA is filed under the name uncultured bacterium. Its description in RNAcentral is "bacterial SSU rRNA". It matches the Rfam family "Bacterial small subunit ribosomal RNA", at positions 346 to 671 of the family's 1533-position model. The record is from RNAcentral.
AGGCAGCAGUGGGGAAUAUUGCGCAAUGGGCGAACCCUGACGCAGCGACGCCGCGUGGGGGAUGAAGGGCUUCGGGUUGUAAACCCCUUUCAUUAGGGAACAAGCCUGAGGGACGGUCCCUGCGGAAGAAGCACCGGCUAACUACGUGCCGGCAGCCGCGGUAAUACGUAGGGUGCAAGCGUUGUCCGGAUUUAUUGGGCGUAAAGAGCUCGUAUGCGGUUCGUCACGUCGGAUGUGAAAACCUGGGGCUUAACUCUGAACCUGCAUUCGAUACGGGCUAACUCGAGUGUUGUAUGGGAGACUGGAAUUCCU